UAGGGAAUCUUCGGCAAUGGGGGGAACCCUGACCGAGCAACGCCGCGCGAGUGAAGAAGGUUUUCGGAUCGUAAAGCUCUGUUGUUAAGGAAGAACGAGUGUGCGAAUGGAAAGUUCAUACUGUGACGGUACUUAACCCGAAAGGGACGGCUAACUACGUGCCAGCAGCCGCGGUAAUACGUAGGUCCCGAGCGUCGUCCGGAUUUAUUGGGCGUAAAGCGGGCGCAGGCGGUUAGAUAAGUCUGAAGUUAAAGGCAGUGGCUCAACCAUUGUAGGCUUUGGAAACUGUUUAACUUGAGUGCAGAAGGGGAGAGUGGAAUUCCAUGUGUAGCGGGGAAAUGCGUAGAUAGAUGGAGGAACACCGGUGGCGAAAGCGGGUCUCUGGUCUGUAACUGACGCAGAGGCUCGAAAGCGGGGGGAGCGAACAGG
RNAcentral lists this ribosomal RNA (429 nucleotides) under Bacteroidota bacterium. RNAcentral's name for it is "Bacteroidetes bacterium partial 16S ribosomal RNA". It matches the Rfam family "Bacterial small subunit ribosomal RNA", at positions 355 to 776 of the family's 1533-position model. The record is from RNAcentral. Lineage: Bacteria; Pseudomonadati; Bacteroidota.